AUAAGUGUUUUACUGCACUUUUUAAAAAAUAGUACUCACCUUGUGUGCAAUGUUGUGUGGAAUUUCUCACCUCGUGUGAGAAUUUCACACCUACACCAACCUAUAACCUUGAACCACUUUGUCUGAAAAACUAUUAUGAAUACUUAAUUCAAAAUACAACUUUCAACAACGGAUCUCUUGGCUCUCGCAUCGAUGAAGAACGCAGCGAAAUGCGAUACGUAAUGUGAAUUGCAGAAUUCAGUGAAUCAUCGAAUCUUUGAACGCACAUUGCACUCUCUGGUAUUCCGGAGAGUAUGCUUGUUUGAGUAUCAGUAAACACCUCAAAUCUCGACAUUCGUGUUGAGAAUUGGACUUGAGCAAUCCCAACUCUUUGCAAAAAGAGGCGGGUUGCUUGAAAUGCAGGUGCAGCUGGACAUUCUUCUGAGCUAAAAGCAUAUUUAUUUAGUCCCGUCAAACGGAUUAUUACUUUUGCUCUAGCUAACAUAAAGGUCGAAUGUGCUACAUGCUGACUGAUGCAGGAUUACCAAGUUUCUGUCAAAAGAAACUUGUAAACUCCAUUGUCAAAAGAAACUUGUAAACUCGAUCUCAAAUCAAGUAAGACUACCCGCUGAACUUAAGCAUAUCAAUAAGCGGA
This 634-nucleotide ribosomal RNA is filed under the name fungal sp. APA-2013. Its description in RNAcentral is "eukaryotic LSU rRNA". The stretch from base 158 to 311 matches the Rfam family "5.8S ribosomal RNA". Lineage: Eukaryota; Fungi. The record is from RNAcentral.